RNAcentral lists this ribosomal RNA (1460 nucleotides) under metagenome. RNAcentral's name for it is "bacterial SSU rRNA". It matches the Rfam family "Bacterial small subunit ribosomal RNA". The record is from RNAcentral.
AGAGUUUGAACCUGGCUCAGGAUGAACGCUAGCGGCAGGCCUAACACAUGCAAGCCGAGGGGUAACGAUGUCUUCGGACAGUCGACGACCGGCGCACGGGUGAGUAACGCGUAUGCAACCUGCCCCUUACAGGGGGAUAGCCCGGAGAAAUCCGGAUUAAUACCCCAUAGGACCUAAGAGUCGCAUGGCUUUAAGGUUAAAAUUUCGAUGGUAAGGGAUGGGCAUGCGUGCCAUUAGUUAGUUGGUAAGGUAACGGCUUACCAAGGCAACGAUGGCUAGGGGUUCUAAAAGGAUGGUCCCCCACACUGGUACUGAGACACGGACCAGACUCCUACGGGAGGCAGCAGUGAGGAAUAUUGGUCAAUGGGUGAGAGCCUGAACCAGCCAUGCCGCGUGCAGGAUGACGGCCCUAGUGGUUGUAAACUGCUUUUAAACAGGAAUAAUUCCUUCUACGUGUAGAGGGUUGCAUGUACUGUAAGAAUAAGCAUCGGCUAACUCCGUGCCAGCAGCCGCGGUAAAUACGGAGGAUGCGAGCGUUAUCCGGAUUUAUUAGGUUUAAAGGGUGCGUAGGCUGUAAUGUAAGUCAGUGGUGAAAUCUUCCGGCUCAACCGGGAAACUGCCGUUGAUACUGCAUUACUUGAGUUCAGUUGAGGUAGGCGGAAUGUGUAAUGUAGCGGUGAAAUGCAUAGAGAUUACACAGAACACCGAUUGCGAAGGCAGCUUACUAAGCUGAAACUGACGCUAAUGCACGAAAGCGUGGGGAGCGAACAGGAUUAGAUACCCUGGUAGUCCACGCCGUAAACGAUGAGCACUCGCUGUUGGCGAUACAUUGUCAGUGGCUGAGCGAAAGCAUUAAGUGCUCCACCUGGGGAGUACGUUGGCAACAAUGAAACUCAAAGGAAUUGACGGGGGCCCGCACAAGCGGUGGAACAUGUGGUUUAAUUCGAUGAUACGCGAGGAACCUUACCUGGGUUUAAAUUUAGGAAGAUUUAUGCCGAAAGGCAUUUUCCCUUCGGGGCUUUCUAGAAGGUGCUGCAUGGCUGUCGUCAGCUCGUGCCGUGAGGUGUCGGGUUAAGUCCCAUAACGAGCGCAACCCCUACUGUUAGUUACCAUCGGUUCAAGCCGGGGACUCUAACGGGACUGCCACCGUAAGGUGAGAGGAAGGUGGGGAUGACGUCAAGUCAGCACGGCCCUUACGUCCAGGGCUACACACGUGUUACAAUGGCCGGUACAAAGGGCAGCUACAUGGCGACAUGAUGCUAAUCUCUAAAACCGGUCUCAGUUCGGAUCGAAGUCUGCAACUCGACUUCGUGAAGCUGGAAUCGCUAGUAAUCGCGUAUCAGCAAUGACGCGGUGAAUACGUUCCCGGGCCUUGUACACACCGCCCGUCAAGCCAUGGAAGCCGGGGGUACCUGAAGUCUGUAACCGCAAGGAGCGGCCUAGGGUAAAACUGGUGACUC